UACCGGCAGCACGAGUGAUGACCGAUAUUAUUGGGCCUAAAGCGUCCGUAGCUGGCCAGACAAGUCCGUUGGGAAAUCCACGCGCUCAACGCGUGGGCGUCCGGCGGAAACUGUUUGGCUUGGGGCCAGAAGACCUGAGGGGUACGUCCGGGGUAGGAGUGAAAUCCUGUAAUCCUGGACGGACCACCAAUGGGGAAACCACCUCAGGAGGAUGGACCCGACAGUGAGGGACGAAAGCUAGGGUCUCGAA
Molecule: ribosomal RNA, 250 nt
Filed under: uncultured Halobacteria archaeon
Lineage: Archaea; Methanobacteriati; Methanobacteriota; Halobacteria
Description: partial 16S ribosomal RNA
Rfam family: Archaeal small subunit ribosomal RNA
Source: RNAcentral